RNAcentral lists this ribosomal RNA (614 nucleotides) under uncultured Alphaproteobacteria bacterium. RNAcentral describes it as "bacterial SSU rRNA". It matches the Rfam family "Bacterial small subunit ribosomal RNA", at positions 8 to 668 of the family's 1533-position model. The record is from RNAcentral. Lineage: Bacteria; Pseudomonadati; Pseudomonadota; Alphaproteobacteria.
AGAGUUUGAUCAUGGCUCAGAACGAACGCUGGCGGCAGGCCUAACACAUGCAAGUCGAGCGCGCCCUUCGGGGUGAGCGGCGGACGGGUUAGUAACGCGUGGGAAUAUACCCGACACUAAGGAAUAGCCUCUGGAAACGGAGAGUAAUACCUUAUACGCCCUUCGGGGGAAAGAUUCAUCGGUGACGGAUUAGCCCGCGUUAGAUUAGAUAGUUGGUGGGGUAAUGGCCUACCAAGUCUACGAUCUAUAGCUGGUUUUAGAGGAUGAUCAGCAACACUGGGACUGAGACACGGCCCAGACUCCUACGGGAGGCAGCAGUGGGGAAUCUUGGACAAUGGGCGCAAGCCUGAUCCAGCCAUGCCGCGUGAGUGAUGAAGGCCUUAGGGUCGUAAAGCUCUUUCGCCAGAGAUGAUAAUGACAGUAUCUGGUAAAGAAACCCCGGCUAACUCCGUGCCAGCAGCCGCGGUAAUACGGAGGGGGUUAGCGUUGUUCGGAAUUACUGGGCGUAAAGCGCGCGUAGGCGGAUUAGUAAGUUAGAGGUGAAAUCCCGGGGCUCAACCCCGGAACUGCCUUUAAUACUGCUAGUCUUGAGUUCGAGAGAGGUGAGUGGAAUU